UACGUAGGUGGCAAGCGUUGUCCGGAUUUACUGGGCGUAAAGGGCGUGCAGGCGGCUUGUUAAGUGCAGGGUGAAAGCUCCCGGCUCAACUGGGAGAGGUUCUUGCAUACUGGCGAGCUCGAGGGAGGCAGAGGAAAGUGGAAUUCCCGGUGUAGUGGUGAAAUGCGCAGAUAUCAGGAGGAACACCGGUGGCGAAGGCGGGUCUCUGGGCCGAUACUGACGCUGAGGAGCGAAAGCGUGGGGAGCGAACAGG
This 253-nucleotide ribosomal RNA is filed under the name uncultured bacterium. Its description in RNAcentral is "partial 16S ribosomal RNA". It matches the Rfam family "Bacterial small subunit ribosomal RNA", at positions 524 to 776 of the family's 1533-position model. The record is from RNAcentral.